UUUAACUGUCUUAAAGCAUAGCAUUUAUAAAAAGCUUUUAAAACUUAAAAUCUGCCUAGAAGUGCCUGACUUUGAAAGUCUGUCUUUUGCUUUUCCUGCCAGUAGGAUGGUAGCGACGGUGUUGCAUUGGACGUGUCCACGUGCUGCUCUCUCACACAGUGAGUCAGAGAGCAGGGACAUAGGGCUCCUGUCACCCUGCUGGCCUUCAGCGAGCGUCACAGACCUGUGUUCUGCCCACUUGUUUGACAGUGGGGAAAACUGAGGCCCAGAGUUUGGCCCUGCCUUCUCUAAGGCCCAGAGCUAGGUUAUGGCAGAGGCAGGAUCAGAACUCACUCCGUCCACACCAUGCUGCCAGCAGGGAGAUGGGCUCCAUGAGAUUGAGAUAAGGAGGCCCCUCCACCACUACCACCACCAAUUUGUCACAUUUAAAAUCACCGUUCAUUUAGGUUAAGCCACUUUCCUCUGGUUUAGUUCUUUUCAGACUUGGAAAUAAUUUUCAAGGAUUUUCCUUAAUACCACACCGCCUCUUUAUGCUUAGAAAUUUUGCUUGAUUCCUUUCACUAGGUAUGAUCACAGUGCCUUCUACCCUCCCAUGUGGGGCUACUUUUCGAUUAAUUCAUUUAGCAUAUUUGUCACUCUUCGUAAGAACUUUUUUCUUCUGAUUUCAUCCCUUCUGUAUCAGCAUUUGAGUUCUUACUCUGUGCCAGGCCUUCUCGAGGAGUGGCAAGGCACUGAGUGAUGGAGGGGCCUCACCUGAGAGCUGGACUUUGUCCUGGCAGAGUCUCGUGUGCCCAUCAGGCCCCACCCCCAUUCAACCGAGGACCAUCAUUGUGUUUUAGAGCAGAGAAUGGAAAGCUGAAGGAGGGAAACAGUCAUUGGGAAAAGGAAUUAUUAUUAUUAUUUUGUUUUGUUUUGUUUUGAAUUUCUGGUCUCAAUCUAGCUAAGGAGACAUACAUUACCAAUGAAUAAUGACACCAGCUGGCAAAUGAAGGUCCAGGGGGUGAUCGCGUAGUCAGGCUUCAGAAGGUUGCCGCCAUUCGAGAUGGUCUGGAAAGAAACACAGGAUUUGGAUAACUGGAGAGGUUAAGGAGGAGCGCGUGAUGGUCCUGGUUGGAUUCAUUGCCCCCGGAUCUGAGCAGAAGCUCUGGGUGAAGUCUCGAUUUGGAGUUGAGUUGCAGGGACCCUUUUGGAGAAGUGAGUGGAGAGGUGGUGAGAGUUGUGGGAAACGGGGUUCUCACAGUUGGGGUGUCUGGAGGGCUGCGCUGGGUCCAUCUGCUGGGAGCCUGAAGGUGGUAGAGUCAAGGGGCUGGGCUGCUCUGUAUUUUACUUUUGCUUCUAAGCCCUCCCUGGCUUAUGUGUAGCUCUCAGGUGUAGGCCAGAGCAGAAUACAUCUGUGGGGUGAAAUGGUCUUCUGCUGAUUCAGGCAUCAGGACACGGAGGGAAGAACAGGAACUUUAUCAGUGCAUGAUUAAGAGAAGCCAGAUUCAGUUAGGAAUCUGCAUUCCACCCCUGAUGCCGUCUGGAGAUCCUGCUGAUGACAGCCCUAAACACGUGCGUCUCCUGAGUCCACUGCCCAGGUGCCGACUGGUUGUCCUCUAAGGCUGGCUGCAGCCCUCGUCCCGAGUGCUCUGUCCUGGCCCCCAAGAGUUCCCUUUGCCUCCUCUCUGUUUGAUCUCUGUUUAUCAUGUUGGAAUCUCUCCUCUACCAGCUUCUUGAGGGUGCAUAGCAGGCAAAUUUUUUAAGAUCUGAAUGUCUAAGUAUGCCUUUACAUCUCCACCUGACUUUAAGGACAGUUUGGCUGGUUAUAGACUUUUAGGUUGGAAAUUGUUUCCCUUCAGAAUUUUUGAAGGUGUUGGCUGCUUGUCUCCCAGCUUCAUGCAGCUGUUAAAAAGCCUGCCAGUUAUUAAAAAAAAAAUCUGAAACAUUCUCAGUUCUUGAUCUUUUGAGUGUGGCUCGUUUUAUUCUCCGUUGGAAGCGUAUAGACCCUUCUCUUGUUUCCAGUGUUCCCAGAGCAGGUCUUUUCAUCCGUUGCGUUUUUGAGUCCUUUCAGUCUGGCUGCUGGUGGCCUUCAGUUCUGGCGCGUCUUCCUUAAGUGGUUUUGCUGGUGGUUUUCUUCUCUCCGUUUGCCCUGUCUUUUCUUUAGGAACUCCUUUUACUCAGGUGCGUGACUUUCUGCAUUGGUCCUCUUAGUUUUCUUAUGUUUUCUCUCUUAUUUUCAAACUGUUUUUUGCUAAGCAGUUUCCCAAACUUUAUCCUCUACCCCUUCUAUAGAGAUUUUAAAAAUGAAGGUAUAAUUCAUAUACAGUAAAGUGCACCAAUCCUGAAAUGUUUAUUUCACUUAGUUUUCACAAUUGUAUGCAUUUGUGCAGCUACUGCCCAAAACAUAGAACAUGUUCAUCAACCUAGAAAGUUCCAUAGGGCCCUUUUCCAGUCCUGGUUUUCAUUUCUGCUGUCUUUUUUUUAAUAUCCGAGCUCCUUUUUCUCUUAAAUGUUACUUAAAAAACAUCUUAUUCUUGCUUCGCAG
RNAcentral lists this long non-coding RNA (2524 nucleotides) under Equus caballus (horse). Its description in RNAcentral is "lncRNA (ENSECAG00000046696.1)". Lineage: Eukaryota; Metazoa; Chordata; Mammalia; Perissodactyla; Equidae. The record is from RNAcentral.